ACGCUUGGUAACCGUGCGUAGAGUGCAAUAGCAAAAGGGUGCUUGACUGUGAGACAAACAAGUCGAUCAGGUACGAAAGUAGGAUAUAGUGAUCCGGUGGUAUAGUAUGGAAUAGCCAUCGCUCAAAGGAUAAAAGGUACUCUGGGGAUAACAGGCUGAUCUCCCCCAAGAGCUCACAUCGACGGGAGGUUUGGCACCUCGAUGUCGGCUCGUCACAUCCUGGGGCUGGAGAAGGUCCCAAGGGUUCGGCUGUUCGCCGAUUAAAGUGGCACGCGAGCUGGGUUCACGUCGUGAGACAGUUCGGUCCCUAUCUGUUGUGGGCGUAGGAAUAUUGACAGGUUCUGACUUUAGUACGAGAGGACCGAGUUGGACUGACCUCUGGUGUAUCAGUUGUCCUGCCAAGGGCAUAGCUGAGUAGCUACGUCGGGACCAGAUAAGCGCUGAAAGCAUCUAAGUGCGAAACUGACCUGAAGAUGAGUAUUCCAAAUAAGGGCCGUUGUAGAUGACAACGUUGAUAGGUUGCAGAUGUAUAGGUAGAGAUACCAGAGUCGAGCAAUACUAAUUACCCAAUAGCUUAUGAUAU
Molecule: ribosomal RNA, 583 nt
Filed under: Flectobacillus sp. BAB-3569
Lineage: Bacteria; Pseudomonadati; Bacteroidota; Cytophagia; Cytophagales; Flectobacillaceae
Description: Bacterial large subunit ribosomal RNA
Rfam family: Bacterial large subunit ribosomal RNA
Source: Rfam by way of RNAcentral